UAGGGAAUCUUCCACAAUGGACGCAAGUCUGAUGGAGCAACGCCGCGUGAGUGAAGAAGGUUUUCGGAUCGUAAAGCUCUGUUGUUGUUGAAGAAGGAUAGAGGCAGUAACUGGUCUUUAUUUGACGGUAAUCAACCAGAAAGUCACGGCUAACUACGUGCCAGCAGCCGCGGUAAUACGUAGGUGGCAAGCGUUGUCCGGCUUUAUUGGGCGUAAAGCGAGCGCAGGCGGAAUGAUAAGUCUGAUGUGAAAGCCCACGGCUCAACCGUGGAACUGCAUCGGAAACUGUCAUUCUUGAGUGCAGAAGAGGAGAGUGGAAUUCCAUGUGUAGCGGUGGAAUGCGUAGAUAUAUGGAAGAACACCAGUGGCGAAGGCGGCUCUCUGGUCUGCAACUGACGCUGAGGCUCGAAAGCAUGGGUAGCGAACAGG
This 429-nucleotide ribosomal RNA is filed under the name Bacillota bacterium. RNAcentral describes it as "Firmicutes bacterium partial 16S ribosomal RNA". It matches the Rfam family "Bacterial small subunit ribosomal RNA", at positions 355 to 776 of the family's 1533-position model. Lineage: Bacteria; Bacillati; Bacillota. The record is from RNAcentral.